AACGCUAGCUACAGGCUUAACACAUGCAAGUCGAGGGGAAACGACAUCGAAAGCUUGCUUUUGAUGGGCGUCGACCGGCGCACGGGUGAGUAACGCGUAUCCAACCUGCCCACCACUUGGGGAUAACCUUGCGAAAGUAAGACUAAUACCCAAUGACGUCUCUAGAAGACAUCUGAAGGAGAUUAAAGAUUUAUCGGUGAUGGAUGGGGAUGCGUCUGAUUAGCUUGUUGGCGGGGUAACGGCCCACCAAGGCGACGAUCAGUAGGGGUUCUGAGAGGAAGGUCCCCCACAUUGGAACUGAGACACGGUCCAAACUCCUACGGGAGGCAGCAGUGAGGAAUAUUGGUCAAUGGGCGAGAGCCUGAACCAGCCAAGUAGCGUGCAGGAUGACGGCCCUAUGGGUUGUAAACUGCUUUUAUAAGGGAAUAAAGUUAGUCUCGUGAGACUUUUUGCAUGUACCUUAUGAAUAAGGACCGGCUAAUUCCGUGCCAGCAGCCGCGGUAAUACGGAAGGUCCGGGCGUUAUCCGGAUUUAUUGGGUUUAAAGGGAGCGUAGGCCGGAGAUUAAGCGUGUUGUGAAAUGUAGACGCUCAACGUCUGCACUGCAGCGCGAACUGGUUUCCUUGAGUACGCACAAAGUGGGCGGAAUUCGUGGUGUAGCGGUGAAAUGCUUAGAUAUCACGAAGAACUCCGAUUG
Molecule: ribosomal RNA, 696 nt
Filed under: uncultured bacterium
Lineage: Bacteria
Description: bacterial SSU rRNA
Rfam family: Bacterial small subunit ribosomal RNA
Source: RNAcentral